RNAcentral lists this small nucleolar RNA (107 nucleotides) under Brassica oleracea var. oleracea. Its description in RNAcentral is "Plant small nucleolar RNA R71". It matches the Rfam family "Plant small nucleolar RNA R71". From Rfam's summary of the family: R71 is a member of the C/D box family of snoRNAs containing the C (UGAUGA) and D (CUGA) box motifs. The record is from Rfam by way of RNAcentral. Lineage: Eukaryota; Viridiplantae; Streptophyta; Magnoliopsida; Brassicales; Brassicaceae.
AAACCAUGGUGUGGGCAUUGAGCUUGGUAGCCCUUGAAUCUCCCCCAGGCUUCACUGAAUCCUUCCAAGUUCUUCUGUUAAAAUCUGGAAAUCUCAUUUCUCAACUU